UACGAAGGGGGCGAGCGUUGUUCGGAGUUACUGGGCGUAAAGGGCGCGUAGGCGGCGAUCCAAGUUAGGCGUGAAAGCCCCGGGCUUAACCUGGGAAUUGCGCUUAAGACUGGACUGCUUGAGUGCGGGAGAGGUGAGUGGAAUUCCCAGUGUAGAGGUGAAAUUCGUAGAUAUUGGGAAGAACACCAGUGGCGAAGGCAGCCAUCUGGACCGACACUGACGCUGAGGCGCGAAAGCGUGGGGAGCAAACAGG
RNAcentral lists this ribosomal RNA (253 nucleotides) under uncultured bacterium. RNAcentral describes it as "partial 16S ribosomal RNA". It matches the Rfam family "Bacterial small subunit ribosomal RNA", at positions 524 to 776 of the family's 1533-position model. The record is from RNAcentral.